GGGUAACCUGCCCAUAAGACUGGGAUAACUCCGGGAAACCGGGGCUAAUACCGGAUAACAUUUUGAACCGCAUGGUUCGAAAUUGAAAGGCGGCUUCGGCUGUCACUUAUGGAUGGACCCGCGUCGCAUUAGCUAGUUGGUGAGGUAACGGCUCACCAAGGCAACGAUGCGUAGCCGACCUNANAGGGUGAUCGGCCACACUGGGACUGAGACACGGCCCANACUUNUACGGGAGGCAGCAGUANGGAAUCUUCCNCAAUGGACGAAAGUCUGACGGAGCAACGCCNCGUGAGUGAUGAAAGCUUUCNGGUCGUAAAACUCUGUUGUUAGGGAAAAACAAGUGCUAGUUGAAUAAGCUGGCACCUUGACGGUACCUAACCAGAAAGCCACGGCUAACUACGUGCCAGCAGCCGCGGUAAUACGUAGGUGGCAAGCGUUAUCCGGAAUUAUUGGGCGUAAAGCGCGCGCAGGUGGUUUCUUAAGUCUGAUGUGAAAGCCCACGGCUCAACCGUGGAGGGUCAUUGGAAACUGGGAGACUUGAGUGCAGAAGAGGAAAGUGGAAUUCCAUGUGUAGCGGUGAAAUGCGUAGAGAUAUGNGAGGAACACCAGUGGCGAAGGCGACUUUCUGGUCUGUAACUGACACUGAGGCGCGAAAAGCGUGGGGAGCAAACAGGGAUUAGAUACCCUGGGUAGUCACGCCGUAAACGANUGAGUGCUAAGUGUUAGAGGGUUUCCGCCCNUUAGUGCUGNAGUUAACGCAUUAAGCACUCCGCCUGGGGAGUACGGNCGCAAGNCUGAAACUCAAAGGAAUUGACGGGGGCCNGCACAAGCGGUGGANCAUGUGGUUUAAUUCGAAGCAACGCGANGAACCUUACCAGGUCUUGACAUCCUCUGANNNCCCUAGAGAUAGGGNUUNNCCUUCGGGNGCAGAGUGACAGGNGNGCAUNGUUGUCGANAGACUCGUGUUUUNAGAUGCNGGGUAAUUNCCGCAACGAGGGCAACCCUUGNUCAUAGUUGCCAUCAUUAAGUUGGGCNCUCUAAGGUGACUGCCGGUGACAAUCCCGGAGAAGGUGCGGAUNNCGUCAAAUCAUCAUGCCCCUUAUGACCUGGGCUACACACGUGCUACAAUGGACGGUACAAAGAGCUGCAAGACCGCGAGGUGGAGCUAAUCUCAUAAAACCGUUCUCAGUUCGGAUUGUAGGCUGCAACUCGCCUACAUGAAGCUGGAAUCGCUAGUAAUCGCGGAUCAGCAUGCCGCGGUGAAUACGUUCCCGGGCCUUGUUCACG
Molecule: ribosomal RNA, 1287 nt
Filed under: Bacillus sp. BAC5
Lineage: Bacteria; Bacillati; Bacillota; Bacilli; Caryophanales; Bacillaceae
Description: partial 16S ribosomal RNA
Rfam family: Bacterial small subunit ribosomal RNA
Source: RNAcentral